RNAcentral lists this ribosomal RNA (448 nucleotides) under uncultured bacterium. Its description in RNAcentral is "bacterial SSU rRNA". It matches the Rfam family "Bacterial small subunit ribosomal RNA", at positions 329 to 794 of the family's 1533-position model. The record is from RNAcentral.
CACCAGACUCCUACGGGAGGCAGCAGCGGGGAAUAUUGCGCAAUGGGCGAAAGCCUGACGCAGCGACGCCGCGUGGGCGAAGAAGCGCCUCGGCGCGUAAAGCCCUGUCAGCAGGGAAGAAAAUGACGGUACCUGAAGAAGAAGCCCCGGCUAAAUACGUGCCAGCAGCCGCGGUAAUACGUAGGGGGCAAGCGUUAUCCGGAUUUACUGGGUGUAAAGGGAGCGUAGACGGCGAUGCAAGUCUGAAGUGAAAGGCGGGGGCCCAACCCCCGGACUGCUUUGGAAACUGUAUGGCUGGAGUGCAGGAGAGGUAAGUGGAAUUCCUAGUGUAGCGGUGAAAUGCGUAGAUAUUAGGAGGAACACCAGUGGCGAAGGCGGCUUACUGGACUGUAACUGACGUUGAGGCUCGAAAGCGUGGGGAGCAAACAGGAUUAGAUACCCGCGUAGC